CCUACGGGAGGCAGCAGUGGGGAAUAUUGGGCAAUGGGCGCAAGCCUGACCCAGCAACGCCGCGUGAAGGAAGAAGGCUUUCGGGUUGUAAACUUCUUUUCUCAGGGACGAAGCAAGUGACGGUACAUGAGGAAUAAGCCACCGCUAACUACGUGCCAGCAGCCGCGGUAAGACGUGGGUGGCAAGAGUUAUCCGGAUUUACUGGGUGUAAAGGGCGAGUAGGCGGGCCUGGAAGUCAGAUGUGAAAACCACGGGCUCAACCUGUGGCCUGCAUUUGAAACUGUAGUUCUUGAGUACUGGAGAGGCAGACGGAAUUCCUAGGGUAGCGGUGAAAUGCGUAGAUAUUAGGAGGAACACCAGUGGCGAAGGCGGUCUGCUGGACAGCAACUGACGCUGAGGCGCGAAAGCGUGGGGAGCAAACAGGAUUAGAUACCCGUGUAGUC
Molecule: ribosomal RNA, 443 nt
Filed under: uncultured bacterium
Lineage: Bacteria
Description: partial 16S ribosomal RNA
Rfam family: Bacterial small subunit ribosomal RNA
Source: RNAcentral